AUCGACGGCAGUGUUUGGCACCUCGAUGUCGGCUCAUCUCAUCCUGGGGCUGGAGCAGGUCCCAAGGGUACGGCUGUUCGCCGUUUAAAGAGGUACGUGAGCUGGGUUUAGAACGUCGUGAGACAGUUCGGUCCCUAUCUGCCGUGGGUGUAGGAUACUUGAGAGGAGUUGCCCCUAGUACGAGAGGACCGGGGUGAACGAUCCACUGGUGUACCAGUUGUUCCGCCAGGAGCAGUGCUGGGUAGCUAUGAUCGGACAGGAUAACCGCUGAAGGCAUCUAAGCGGGAAGCCCCCCUCAAAACAAGGUAUCCCUGAGGACCGAGGUAGACCACCUCGUCGAUAGGCCAGAGAUGUAAGUGCAGCAAUGCAUUCAGUUGACUGGUACUAAUUGUCCGAUAGGCUUGAU
This 406-nucleotide ribosomal RNA is filed under the name Chaetoceros neogracilis. RNAcentral describes it as "partial Bacterial large subunit ribosomal RNA". It matches the Rfam family "Bacterial large subunit ribosomal RNA", at positions 2504 to 2925 of the family's 2925-position model. The record is from RNAcentral. Lineage: Eukaryota; Bacillariophyta; Thalassiosirophyceae; Chaetocerotales; Chaetocerotaceae.